UGGGGAAUUUUGGGACAAUGGGCGCAAGCCUGAUCCAGCCAUGCCGCGUGCGGGAAGAAGGCCUUCGGGUUGUAAACCGCUUUUGUCAGGGAAGAAAUCUUCUGAGUUAAUACCUCGGGAGGAUGACGGUACCUGAAGAAUAAGCACCGGCUAACUACGUGCCAGCAGCCGCGGUAAUACGUAGGGUGCAAGCGUUAAUCGGAAUUACUGGGCGUAAAGCGCGCGCAGGCGUUUUGUAAGACAGAGGUGAAAUCCCCGGGCUCAACCUGGGAACUGCCUUUGUGACUGCAAGGCUUGAGUGCGGCAGAGGGGGCAUGGAAUUCCGCGUGUAGCAGUGAAAUUGCGUAGAUAUGCGGAGGAACACCGUGGCGAAGGCAAUCCCCUGGGCCUGCACUGACGCUCAUGCACGAAAGCGUGGGGAGCAAACAGGAUUAGAUACCCUGGUAGUCCACGCCCUAAACGAUGUCAACUGGUUGUUGGG
This 481-nucleotide ribosomal RNA is filed under the name uncultured bacterium. RNAcentral describes it as "partial 16S ribosomal RNA". It matches the Rfam family "Bacterial small subunit ribosomal RNA", at positions 355 to 827 of the family's 1533-position model. The record is from RNAcentral.